GGGUGGCGGCGUGCUCGAAAAUGUUAAAGUUCUUAUUUCAUGGUAUAACUUUGGUAUGCUUGGACCUAGAGUCUUCAAACUUGACAUGAAGGUUGGCCAGGAUUAACAGAUGACCACUGGUCAUUUCAAGGUCAUUCAUUUGAAGGUCAAGGUCACUGUGACCUUCAAUAUAAAAAAUGUUAAAGUUGUUAUAACUUUGGUAUGCUUGGACCUAGAGUCUUGAAACUUGACAUGAAGGUUGGCCAGAACUAGUAAGUAACCACUGGACAUUUCAAGGUCAUUCAUUUGAAGGUCAAGGUCACUGUGACCUUGAAUGUAAAAAUGUUAAAGUUCUUAUUUCAUGUUAUAACUUUGGUAUGCUUGUACCUAGAGUCUUCAAACUUGAAAUAAAGAUUGGCCAGUACUAGAAGAUGACCACUGGUCAUUUCAAUGUCAUUCAUUUGAAGGUCAAGGUCACUGUGACCUUAAAUGUUAAAAUGUUAAAAUUGUUAUAACUUUGGUAUGCUUGGACAUAGAGUCUUCAAACUUGACAUGAAGGUUUGCAAGCACACUUAGAUGACCACUGGUCAUUUCAAGGUCAUUCAUUCUAAGGUCAAGGUCACUGUGACCUUGAAUGUAAAAAUGUUAAAGUUCUUAUAACUUUGGUAGGUAAAAAUGUUAAAGUUCUUAUUCCAUGUUAUAACUUUGGUAUGCUUGUACCUAGAGUCUUCAAACUUGACAUAAAGGUUGGCCAGUACUAGAAGAUCACCACUGCUCAUUUCAAUGUCAUUCAUUUGAAGGUCAAGGUCACUGUGACCUUCAAUGUUAAAAUGUUAAAAUUGUUAUAACUUUGGUAUGCUUGGACCUAGAGUCUUGAAACUUGACAUGAAGGUUGGCCAGAACUAGUAAGUAACCACUGGACAUUUCAAGGUCAUUCAUUUGAAGGUCAAGGUCACUGUGACCUUGAAUGUAAAAAUGUUAAAGUUCUUAUUUCAUGUUAUAACUUUGGUAUGCUUGUACCUAGAGUCUUCAAACUUGAAAUAAAGAUUGGCCAGUACUAGAAGAUGACCACUGGUCAUUUCAAUGUCAUUCAUUUGAAGGUCAAGGUCACUGUGACCUUAAAUGUUAAAAUGUUAAAAUUGUUAGAACUUUGGUAUGCUUGGACAUAGAGUCUUCAAACUUGACAUGAAGGUUUGCAAGCACACUUAGAUGACCACUGGUCAUUUCAAGGUCAUUCAUUCUAAGGUCAAGGUCACUGUGACCUUGAAUGUAAAAAUGUUAAAGUUCUUAUAACUUUGGUAGGUAAAAAUGUUAAAGUUCUUAUUCCAUGUUAUAACUUUGGUAUGCUUGUACCUAGAGUCUUCAAACUUGACAUAAAGGUUGGCCAGUACUAGAAGAUCACCACUGCUCAUUUCAAUGUCAUUCAUUUGAAGGUCAAGGUCACUGUGACCUUCAAUGUUAAAAUGUUAAAAUUGUUAUAACUUUGGUAUGCUUGGACCUAGAAUCUCAAACUUGACGUAAAGGUUUGCAAGCACACUUAGAUGACCACUGGUCAUUUCAAGGUCAUUCAUUUCAAUGUCAUUCAUUUGAAGGUCAAGGUCACUGUGAACUUAAAUGUUAAAAUGUUAAAAUUGUUGUAACUUUGGUAUGCUUGGACCUAGAAUCUCAAACUUGACGUAAAGGUUUGCAAGCACACUUAGAUGACCACUGGUCAUUUCAAGGUCAUUCAUUUGAAGGUCGAGGUCACUGUGACCUUGGAUGUAAAUAUGUUAAAGUUGUUAAUACUUUGGUAUGCUUAGACCUAGAGUCUUCAAACUUGAUAUGAAGGUUGGCCAGAACUAGUAGAUGACCACUGGUCAUUUUAAGGUCAAGGUCACCGUGACCUUGAAUGUAAAAAUGUUAAAA
Dreissena polymorpha is the source of this 1884-nucleotide long non-coding RNA. RefSeq lists it as uncharacterized. Lineage: Eukaryota; Metazoa; Mollusca; Bivalvia; Myida; Dreissenidae. The transcript is spliced from 3 exons. The record is from RefSeq and is a predicted model, not a curated record.